CCUACGGGCGGCAGCAGUGGGGAAUAUUGCACAAUGGGCGAAAGCCUGAUGCAGCAACGCCGCGUGAGCGAUGAAGGCCUUCGGGUCGUAAAGCUCUGUCCUCAAGGAAGAUAAUGACGGUACUUGAGAAGGAAGCCCCGGCUAACUACGUGCCAGCAGCCGCGGUAAUACGUAGGGGGCUACCGUUCCCCGGAAUUACUGGGCGUAAAGGGUGCGUAGGUGGUUUCUAAAGUAAGAGGUGAAAGGCUAGGGUUCAACCGUAGUAAGCCUUUGAAACUGGGGAACUUGAGUGCAGGAGAGGAGAGUGGAAUUCCUGGUGUAGCGGUGAAAUGCGUAGAUAUUAGGAGGAACACCAGUUGCGAAGGCGACUCUCUGGACUGUAACUGACGCUGAGGCGCGAAAGCGUGGGGAGCAAACAGGAUUAGAUACCCUAGUAGUC
RNAcentral lists this ribosomal RNA (439 nucleotides) under uncultured bacterium. RNAcentral's name for it is "partial 16S ribosomal RNA". It matches the Rfam family "Bacterial small subunit ribosomal RNA", at positions 338 to 795 of the family's 1533-position model. The record is from RNAcentral.